Long non-coding RNA from Carassius carassius (crucian carp), 1286 nucleotides. RefSeq lists it as uncharacterized. NCBI's taxonomy places the organism in Eukaryota, Metazoa, Chordata, Actinopteri, Cypriniformes, Cyprinidae. The transcript has 9 exons. The record is from RefSeq and is a predicted model, not a curated record.
AGAAAGACCAGAAUGGGCUCAAGGGCAGGUUCAUCACUGAUCUUAAAGGGAGGGGUGUGUUCAGCUGUACUGACUUUGAGAAAGGAGAUUUCCUGCUGGAAUACUGAGGAGACCUCAUCAGCAAAGAAGAAUCUCGAGAUGACUGUUCUCUUGGGCGUCUUGUAAACGAUGACCAUAUUAACCCAAACAGCAGGAUGAAGACGAUUCGUGUGGAUGGAAAACCUCACUUAUGUUUAUUUGCCACAAGGAGCAUCUGUCCUGGUGAAGAGAUCACAUAUGAUUACGGUGAUUCUGAUUGGCCAUGGAGAUGCACGACUUUUCUAUAGUGUGCUUGAACCGUCCACUGUUGAAGUCAACACUCUGUCCCAGUCAGAAGACACAGAUGUAUAGAAGGUGACUCUGAAGAAGGACCGGUUACUAUUGGAUGAUCCGGACUGUGUUGAGCAGAUGUCACCUGUCAAAGAGCAUGUGUUGAAUGAGGAGCAGAGCUUUUGUGCUCCGCUGAAGGAGUUAAGGAGGUAUUCACAUGUUUCGGAUGAACUGUUAUUUCAGUGCAACAGUGAAUGCUCUGAAGUCUGAUGUCUUCAUGGGCUGUGAUAUACUUAGCUGUUACCAAAUAUAAGAUCAACAUGACAGAUUCUGAUGGUGAUCCUGAAGAAAGUGAUUCUGAUGAUGAUGAUGCUCUUGCUGGAGCUGCAGGAGACUCCAGUAAUGCUGGUGUUCAGAAGAUGCCCAUUGAGAGCACCACUGAAGUUCCUUAAGAGAGUGAGAGUGAUGCAGAAACUGAAAACCCACGGAGAGGGCAGAAAGUGUCCUGCUCAAACGCUGAAGUUACAGCUGUAAUCAAACAUUUUAGGACCACAGAGCUAAAGGAAAACUGGCCACAAUGACUGAAAACCAGCAGUGUAAAACUGCUGAGGAUCCAGUUUUGGUGAGAUGCAGUGCACAGAAAAUACAGGAUUUUGUAAGAAAUUGAGGAAUUAUCUUAAAAAGGAAAACCCAAAGCAAGUGAUGUUACAGGACAUCCUGUGUCUUCUUGAUGCCAUUCUAUUAUCAUUAGCACUUUGGUUGUUGUUUUUAUUUCCCAUAGUGCAAAACUGUUAUGGCAGCAGUUAAUACAAAUAUCUCCAUGUAGAAAUCAAGUUCAACUGUUAGUUUGUCAAAAAAUGUCAAAAUUCUGUAAAUUUCUCGUUGAUUUUUGGAUGACCUGUCCCUUAAAGAGUAUUUCACUUCCAGAAGGAAAACUCUGUCAUCAUGUACUCACCCUCCACUUGAUCCAGACCUGC